CCUAGCCACAGCAAUUAGGCAAGAAAAAGAAGUAAAAGUAAUCCAAAUUUAAAGGAAGUAGUAAAAUGGUUGCUAUUUGCAAACGGAAACAGAGGA
Molecule: long non-coding RNA, 96 nt
Organism: Lynx canadensis (Canada lynx)
Lineage: Eukaryota; Metazoa; Chordata; Mammalia; Carnivora; Felidae
Exons: 3
Source: RefSeq, a predicted model, not a curated record